GAGUUUGAUCGUGGCUCAGAUUGAACGCUGGCGGCAUGCCUUACACAUGCAAGUCGAACGGCAGCACGGGAGCUUGCUCCUGGUGGCGAGUGGCGAACGGGUGAGUAAUGCAUCGGAACGUAUCCUGGAGUGGGGGAUAACGUAGCGAAAGUUACGCUAAUACCGCAUAUUCUGUGAGCAGGAAAGCGGGGGACCUUCGGGCCUCGCGCUCUUGGAGCGGCCGAUGUCGGAUUAGCUAGUUGGUGAGGUAAAGGCUCACCAAGGCGACGAUCCGUAGCAGGUCUGAGAGGAUGAUCUGCCACACUGGAACUGAGACACGGUCCAGACUCCUACGGGAGGCAGCAGUGGGAUUUUGGACAAUGGGGGCAACCCUGAUCCAGCCAUGCCGCGUGAGUGAAGAAGGCCUCGGUUGUAAGACGUCUUCGUCGAGGA
RNAcentral lists this ribosomal RNA (432 nucleotides) under bacterium enrichment culture clone ALO1_GLFRUDD03GYQNA. Its description in RNAcentral is "bacterial SSU rRNA". It matches the Rfam family "Bacterial small subunit ribosomal RNA", at positions 9 to 445 of the family's 1533-position model. The record is from RNAcentral.